RNAcentral lists this ribosomal RNA (517 nucleotides) under uncultured Actinomycetes bacterium. Its description in RNAcentral is "bacterial SSU rRNA". It matches the Rfam family "Bacterial small subunit ribosomal RNA", at positions 373 to 903 of the family's 1533-position model. Lineage: Bacteria; Bacillati; Actinomycetota; Actinomycetes. The record is from RNAcentral.
GGGCGCAGCCUGAUGCGCACGCCGCGUGGGGGAUGAAGGCCUUCGGGUUGUAAACCCCUUUUAGCAGGGAAGAAGCGAAAGUGACGGUACCUGCAGAAAAAGCGCCGGCUAACUACGUGCCAGCAGCCGCGGUAAUACGUAGGGCGCAAGCGUUGUCCGGAAUUAUUGGGCGUAAAGAGCUCGUAGGCGGUUUGUCGCGUCUGCUGUGAAAGUCCGAGGCUCAACCUCGGAUCUGCAGUGGGUACGGGCAGACUAGAGUAUGGUAGGGGAGACUGGAAUUCCUGGUGUAGCGGUGGAAUGCGCAGAUAUCAGGAGGAACACCAAUGGCGAAGGCAGGUCUCUGGGCCAUAACUGACGCUGAGGAGCGAAAGCGUGGGGAGCGAACAGGAUUAGAUACCCUGGUAGUCCACGCCGUAAACGGUGGGCACUAGAUGUGGGGCUCUUUCCAUGAGUUCCGCGUCGCAGCUAACGCAUUAAGUGCCCCGCCUGGGGAGUACGGCCGCAAGGCUAAAACUCA